AGUCUGGUGCCAGCAGCCGCGGUAAUUCCAGCUCCAAUAGCGUAUAUUAAAGUUGCUGCAGUUAAAAAGCUCGUAGUUGGAUCUGGGGCUUGAGGUCACUGACUAUCGUUUCGGCGAUGACGGUGAUGCUCAGCUCUGCUUGCCGGUGACUGUUGCGGUGUUCUUCACUGAGCGCUGUAGCAGCACGGCACGUUUACUUUGAAAAAAUUAGAGUGCUCAAAGCGUGCUUGUCGCUUGAAUAAUGUUGCAUGGAAUAAUGGAAUAGGACCUCGGUUCUAUUUUGUUGGUUUUCGGAGCUUGAGGUAAUGAUUAAGAGGGACGAACGGGGGCAUUCGUAUUGCGGUGUUAGAGGUGAAAUUCUUGGAUCGCCGCAAGACGGACUACUGCGAAAGCAUUUGCCAAGAACGCUUUCAUUAAUUAAGAACGAAAGUCAGAGGUUCGAAGACGAUCAGACACCGUCCUAGUUCUGACCAUAAGCGAUGCCGACCAGCGAUCCGUAGUGGUUGCUUUAUGGACCCUACGGGCAGCCUCCGGGAAACCAGAGUAUUUGGGUUCCGGGGGAAGUAUGGUUGCAAAGCUGAAACUUAAAGGAAUUGACGGAAGGGCACACCAGGAGUGGAGCCUGCGGCUUAAUUUGACCCAACACGGGAAAACUCACCCGGUCCGGACACCGUAAGGAUUGACAGACUGAUAGCUCUUUCUUGAUUCGGUGGAUGGUGGUGCAUGGCCGUUCUUAGUUGGUGGACUGAUUUGUCUGGUUAAUUCUGAUAACGAACGAGACUCUAGCCUGCCAAGUAGUGUUGCUAUUGUUAUAUGGUUGACACUUCUUAGAGGGACAAGUGGCAUUUAGCCACGCGAAAUUGAGCAAUAACAGGUCUGUGAUGCCCUUAGAUGUCCGGGGCCGCACGCGCGCUACACUGGAGAAGUCAGCGUGUGUUAUCCAAGUCCGAAAGGACUGGGUAAUCCGUUGAACCUUCUUCGUGCUUGGGACUGAGGCUUGGAACUAUUCCACAUGAACGAGGAAUUCCUAGUAAUUGCAAGUCAUAAGCUUGCGUUGAUUACGUCCCUGCCCUUUGUACACACCGCCCGUCGCUACUACCGAUUGAAUGGUUUAGCAAGGUCCUCGGAUCGUGGCCGUAGGGGCACGCAAGUGUUUCUGCGGUUUGCGAGAAGACGACCAAACUUGAUCAUUUAGA
Molecule: ribosomal RNA, 1196 nt
Filed under: metagenome
Description: SSU rRNA
Rfam family: Eukaryotic small subunit ribosomal RNA
Source: RNAcentral